Phyllostomus discolor (pale spear-nosed bat) is the source of this 398-nucleotide long non-coding RNA. RefSeq lists it as uncharacterized. The record is from RefSeq and is a predicted model, not a curated record. Lineage: Eukaryota; Metazoa; Chordata; Mammalia; Chiroptera; Phyllostomidae. The transcript is spliced from 3 exons.
GGGUUCAGAAAAGGGACCAGUGGCAUCUGCUCACCUCAAUGCCAGACACUUCAGUUUCUCCCGUAUGCCACUGGUGUCCUUCUAGCUGUUAUCCAUGUGCUGGAGCUCAGAGACAGUGAAUCUGAGUAGCUGAGUCCAUGUGUGGGGUCUUCAAAAGGAAUGGGUAAAAAUGCAUUUGAGUAAUCAUAAAGGAAUUCCACUUUUAUAUACCUUUUAAUUUUUUAUUUUUGACUUGGAGAGUAUGUUUACUAAAGCUGGGGACAGUGAAACAAGGAAGAGCUUAGGAUAGAAGAAACAACAGGAGAGCGCCUAAGCUGGCCCACUUUGGUUCUUUAGAAAUGUUACAGGAAAGAAAGGAGCCUGGGUGGAGCUGCUUUCGCUCACGGGAGAGUCAGAGA